This 273-nucleotide unclassified non-coding RNA is filed under the name soil metagenome. RNAcentral describes it as "partial contains small subunit ribosomal RNA and internal transcribed spacer 1". The record is from RNAcentral.
UUUCCGUAGGUGAACCUGCGGAAGGAUCAUUACAAAAAUCCCAAUUAAAUCAUUUGUGAAUUAUAAGUCCCUUUAAUAGGUUCAGGCCUAAUAUUAAGGGCGAGCUGUGCUGGGUUGAGAUAUAGGCCGCGUAGGCUAUAAACUUUGGGAUAUAGGCCGAGAGGACUAUAAACUUUGGGCCUAUAAACUUGGCCCACACAGAUAUUAAACCAAGUUGUCUAAAUGUAUAUAAAUUAUCAAUAACAACACUUGACAGUGGAUCUCUUGGCUCUU